CAAAAACCAACCCCUGUGGGAAGCAGGGAAAUCGUCUUUCCAGCUGGGUGGAGACCAAGGCACAGAGAGGUCUCCCCACCCCAUGCUUAAAACCUACAUGAGCUACAUGUGACCUGAGGAUUCCUUUACAAUUAUACCCCAACAGUCAGAACCUCUUAAAUUUAAUCCUUGAUCUGGAGGAUAGCAACUCAUUUUGUAUCGAGGUUCCUGUUUUGGGCAGCAAAGAGCAGUGAGUGCUAUGAGAGGAUACAAAAUAAACCAAGUGAGCUCUGCA
Molecule: long non-coding RNA, 274 nt
Organism: Gopherus flavomarginatus (Mexican gopher tortoise)
Lineage: Eukaryota; Metazoa; Chordata; Testudines; Testudinidae
Exons: 2
Source: RefSeq, a predicted model, not a curated record